This 524-nucleotide ribosomal RNA is filed under the name Diplophoenicus sp. UPOL RK0145. RNAcentral's name for it is "partial 16S ribosomal RNA". It matches the Rfam family "Archaeal large subunit ribosomal RNA", at positions 1923 to 2679 of the family's 2987-position model. Lineage: Eukaryota; Metazoa; Arthropoda; Insecta; Coleoptera; Elateridae. The record is from RNAcentral.
CAUGUCUUUUUGAUUAUAAUUUAAGGUUUGAUCUGCUCAAUGAGGAUUUAAAUUGCCGCGGUAUUUUGACCGUGCAAAGGUAGCAUAAUAAUUAGUUUUUUUAUUGAAAGCUGGAAUGAACGAUUGGACGAGAAAACUACUGUCUCUUUUUAAUUUGUUGUUGAAAUUAACUUUUAAGUCAAAAGGCUUAAAUUAUUUUUAUAGACGAGAAGACCCUAUAGAGUUUUAUAUUUCGAUUAUUUGGGGAUUUUUGGUUAUUUGAUUUUUUGAUUAAUAGUAUUAUUUGGUUGGGGUGACUGGAAGAUUUAAUUAACUCUUUUAGAAAUUUAAUCAUUGAUUUGUGAAUAGUUAAUCUAGUUUUUUUAAGUUUAAGAAAAAUUACCUUAGGGAUAACAGCGUAAUUUCCUCUAGAGUUCUUAUUGAAUAGGGAGUUUGCGACCUCGAUGUUGGAUUAAGAUUUAAUUUUGGUGUAGAGGCUAAAAUAUUGAGUCUGUUCGACUCUUGAAAUCUUACAUGAUCUGAGU